RNAcentral lists this ribosomal RNA (379 nucleotides) under uncultured cyanobacterium. RNAcentral describes it as "bacterial SSU rRNA". It matches the Rfam family "Bacterial small subunit ribosomal RNA", at positions 376 to 770 of the family's 1533-position model. The record is from RNAcentral. Lineage: Bacteria; Bacillati; Cyanobacteriota.
CGAAAGCCUGACGGAGCAAUACCGCGUGCGGGAGGACGGCCUGUGGGUUGUAAACCGCUUUUCUCAGGGAAGAAGACCUGACGGUACCCGAGGAAUCAGCAUCGGCUAACUCCGUGCCAGCAGCCGCGGUAAUACGGAGGAUGCAAGCGUUAUCCGGAAUGAUUGGGCGUAAAGCGUCCGCAGGUGGCAAUGUAAGUCUGCUGUCAAAACCCAGGGCUCAACUCUGGUCAGGCAGUGGAAACUACAGAGCUAGAGUUCGGUAGGGGCAAAGGGAAUUCCCGGUGUAGCGGUGAAAUGCGUAGAGAUCGGGAAGAACAUCGGUGGCGAAAGCGCUUUGCUAGACCGAAACUGACACUCAGGGACGAAAGCUAGGGGAGCG